AGCUCUUGGAGAAUGGAAGAAUGAAAUGGAAGUGAUAAGAAAAAUUGAAGAGAGGGGUCCCUAUUUAUAGAAAAUGGGGACCAUUAAAUUUGAAACAAAUGACGAAAUCUAGUGAGGAAAGGGAAAGUUAAAUGAGAAAGAAGUGAUGUGACAUGACUCGACUGUUGUGCAAAAAUGAAGAAAGCCUCCCAACUGAUGGUGGCACACUCUUAAGACAACAAUGGCAUACCACCCAACUAGUGGCGCGCAUGAGCCGAGGUAGUGCUCGAUACCCAAGGUGGUGGCAGCACACUGCCCGAGGCAAUAGUGUUCCUCCCCAAUUGGCUACGCGUUGCAUGCCUAGCCUGCAGGUGCGUUGGCUUAUCCUACUGCAUGCAGGGCGUACAGAGUGGACAGCGUGUGCAUAGGGCAUACGGUGUCGUGCCUGUUUGCGCGCGCAAACUAACCUUGUGCCCUGCGGUAAUGGGACAUGCACACAUUGUGCAGCUCCGGUGUUGGCCGCACGCACGCAUGCGCACAAGGCGUGCAAUGCCCACGUGGGUCUUUUCCCCUAGGUAUAUUCCCGUGGUAUUUUACUCCCUUU
Molecule: long non-coding RNA, 583 nt
Filed under: Carica papaya (papaya)
Lineage: Eukaryota; Viridiplantae; Streptophyta; Magnoliopsida; Brassicales; Caricaceae
Description: long non-coding RNA (CPAP_LNC016582)
Source: RNAcentral